Molecule: long non-coding RNA, 527 nt
Organism: Bos indicus x Bos taurus (hybrid cattle)
Lineage: Eukaryota; Metazoa; Chordata; Mammalia; Artiodactyla; Bovidae
Source: Ensembl
CUUUGUCUAAUUGUCUUUUGUUGCCUAACACUGCUGAAUGAAUAAUAUGAAUAAGCAAUACCAAGAGCUCCUGAAAAAAAUCAGAUGGAGAACAUGACAUCAUGGUCCCACCGAAGCGAAGCACGUGAGUGACUCAGGAGCUUAAGACUGUUGGGGAUAUCCAGAGUGGGUUUCCCGGUGGCUUCCCCGUGGCUUCCUCUGGACCUGCUGUCAGUCAACCUCUGUCCCUUCACAGACAGUGCUGUGGAGCUGAUAAGGGCACAGUGUGGAACCAGAUUGCCCAGCCUCAAAUCCGGCUCUGUCUCUCGUUAGCUGUCUGAUUUGGGGGAGCUGUUCCUGACCUGCGCCCUCGGGCCCACAUAGGGAGGAAACAUUCAUCUCUCUAGUUCAGAUGUCCCGUGCAAGCUGCAGGGACCAGGGCUCUGCACACGACUGAUGAGGCUGCUGGAAACUUCCGUCUGAUUUCGAGUCUCCUACAGCAAGAGUACCCUAAAAUUUCCUGAUGGUAAGAACAAUCUGGACGCCCA